Molecule: ribosomal RNA, 428 nt
Filed under: Brucella melitensis
Lineage: Bacteria; Pseudomonadati; Pseudomonadota; Alphaproteobacteria; Hyphomicrobiales; Brucellaceae
Also listed under: 3 other names
Description: partial 16S ribosomal RNA
Rfam family: Bacterial small subunit ribosomal RNA
Source: RNAcentral
UGGGGAAUAUUGGACAAUGGGCGAAAGCCUGAUCCAGCCAUGCCGCGUGUGUGAAGAAGGCCUUUUGGUUGUAAAGCACUUUAAGCGAGGAGGAGGCUACUUGGAUUAAUACUCUAGGAUAGUGGACGUUACUCGCAGAAUAAGCACCGGCUAACUCUGUGCCAGCAGCCGCGGUAAUACAGAGGGUGCGAGCGUUAAUCGGAUUUACUGGGCGUAAAGCGUGCGUAGGCGGCUUUUUAAGUCGGAUGUGAAAUCCCUGAGCUUAACUUAGGAAUUGCAUUCGAUACUGGGAAGCUAGAGUAUGGGAGAGGAUGGUAGAAUUCCAGGUGUAGCGGUGAAAUGCGUAGAGAUCUGGAGGAAUACCGAUGGCGAAGGCAGCCAUCUGGCCUAAUACUGACGCUGAGGUACGAAAGCAUGGGGAGCAAACA